CUGACCCCCAGCCUGGAAAAGGAAGGGAAGCUCCACACUCCUGGGAAAGCAGGGACGUGGGCGUGGCCACACCGUACCUCACUCUCCGUGGAGGGGCCUCAUCCUGGACACCCACUAGCACACUUGCUGCAGCACCGUCAAAAGAAAAACCACACGGUCAUUUCCCUGGGUGCCGGAAAGAAGCCUGACCUCUAACACCCAUUCCUAGCAGGAAAGAGAGUGACCAGGGAAAGGAGCCCCUGAGGACUGGAAAGCUUAAGGACCGGGAGAAAAGGAAACUGAAAAAGCAGAUUCCAUAAUCUUGUGCGAGAACCACGUGAGUCCCAGUCUUAUCCCUGAGUAUCCAGGACAGACCCAAGGUGUAUCCGUGAAGCCUGUAAGACUUCAACUAAGAUUAAACCACUGCCAAGCCUCAGACGAACCCCUACAUAGCAAUGUCCAAGACCAACAAAAACCACAGAGCAAAGGUUCUGGAAAUUGAGCUGACACUGAAUUCACCACCACAGACAAUAUGUGCAGUCUGAACCUAAUUGGGGUGACUGCCUAUUAAAAAAAAAAAUUCUCCAGAGGG
Urocitellus parryii (Arctic ground squirrel) is the source of this 571-nucleotide non-coding RNA. The record is from RefSeq and is a predicted model, not a curated record. NCBI's taxonomy places the organism in Eukaryota, Metazoa, Chordata, Mammalia, Rodentia, Sciuridae.